RNAcentral lists this ribosomal RNA (388 nucleotides) under uncultured bacterium. Its description in RNAcentral is "bacterial SSU rRNA". It matches the Rfam family "Bacterial small subunit ribosomal RNA", at positions 28 to 417 of the family's 1533-position model. The record is from RNAcentral.
GACGAACGCUGGCGGCGUGCUUAACACAUGCAAGUCGAGCGAGGCCCUCCUUCGGGGGGUGCCCUAGCGGCGAACGGGUGAGUAACACGUGGGCAACCUGCCCUCAGCUCUGGGAUAACUCCAAGAAAUUGGUGCUAAUACCGGAUGUGACCGCUGACCGCAUGGUCUGGUGGUGGAAAGAUUUAUCGGCUGAGGAUGGGCCCGCGGCCUAUCAGCUUGUUGGUGGGGUCACGGCCCACCAAGGCGACGACGGGUAGCCGGCCUGAGAGGGUGACCGGCCACACUGGGACUGAGACACGGCCCAGACUCCUACGGGAGGCAGCAGUGGGGAAUAUUGCGCAAUGGGCGAAAGCCUGACGCAGCGACGCCGCGUGAGGGAUGACGGCCU